UACGUAGGGUGCGAGCGUUGCCCGGAUUUACUGGGCGUAAAGGGCUCGUAGGCGGCCAACUAAGUCAGACGUGAAAUCCCUCGGCUUAACCGGGGAACUGCGUCUGAUACUGGAUGGCUUGAGUUUGGGAGAGGGAUGCGGAAUUCCAGGUGUAGCGGUGAAAUGCGUAGAUAUCUGGAGGAACACCGGUGGCGAAGGCGGCAUCCUGGACCAACACUGACGCUGAGUGAGCGAAAGCCAGGGGAGCAAACGGG
Molecule: ribosomal RNA, 254 nt
Filed under: uncultured bacterium
Lineage: Bacteria
Description: partial 16S ribosomal RNA
Rfam family: Bacterial small subunit ribosomal RNA
Source: RNAcentral